This 374-nucleotide ribosomal RNA is filed under the name uncultured bacterium. Its description in RNAcentral is "bacterial SSU rRNA". It matches the Rfam family "Bacterial small subunit ribosomal RNA", at positions 524 to 898 of the family's 1533-position model. The record is from RNAcentral.
UACGUAGGCAGCAAGCGUUGUUCGGAGUUACUGGGCGUAAAGAGUGCGUAGGCGGUCUGGCAAGUUCGGUGUGAAAUCUCCCGGCUUAACUGGGAGGGUGCGCCGAAGACUGUUGGGCUGGAGUAUGGGAGAGGCAGGCGGAAUUCCUGGUGUAGCGGUGAAAUGCGUAGAUAUCAGGAGGAACACCGGUGGUGUAGGCGGCUUGCUGGACCAUAACUGACGCUGAGGCACGAAAGCGUGGGGAGCAAACAGGAUUAGAUACCCUGGUAGUCCACGCCCUAAACGAUGCAGACUUGGUGUGGGCCAUUCAUUUGGUCUGUGCCGGAGCUAACGCGUUAAGUCUGCCGCCUGGGGAGUACGGUCGCAAGGCUGAA